AUACGUAGGUGGCGAGCGUUGUCCGGAAUUAUUGGGCAUAAAGCGCGCGCAGGCGGGAAAGUAAGUCUACUCUAAAAGUGCGGGGCUCAACCCCGUGAUGGGGUGGAAACUGCUUUUCUUGAGUGCCGGAGAGGAAAGUGGAAUUCCCAGUGUAGCGGUGAAAUGCGUAGAUAUUGGGAGGAACACCAGUGGCGAAGGCGACUUUCUGGACGGUGUCUGACGCUGAGGCGCGAAAGCCAGGGGAGC
Molecule: ribosomal RNA, 246 nt
Filed under: uncultured bacterium
Lineage: Bacteria
Description: partial 16S ribosomal RNA
Rfam family: Bacterial small subunit ribosomal RNA
Source: RNAcentral